GAAAUAAAUAAAUGCAAACAAUGAUUGGCAUAUAUCUUGAUAAGCUAGUUAUUGCUGUUGUUGUUGUUGUUGAUACAAGUUGUUAAUAUAAUUUGUUUUUGUCUUUGUUG
This 110-nucleotide small RNA is filed under the name Fragilariopsis kerguelensis. RNAcentral's name for it is "partial transfer-messenger RNA". The record is from RNAcentral. Lineage: Eukaryota; Bacillariophyta; Bacillariophyceae; Bacillariales; Bacillariaceae.